AAAAUAAUAAAAAAAACGGGAAAAGUAUAUUUUAAAGAUAUCAAGAUAGAUAAGUUUCUGUAAAAGGAAAUAUUAAAUGAAUAAUAGAUUGCAAAUUAUGAGAUUUUACUAUUUCUUUUUCUUCUUUUUCCCUAAGGGGUGCUAUUGUGAUAUAAUCUGUAAUGCCAACUGAUUUAUCAUCCAAUGUAUAGCUUGAUAUCUCAAAUCGAGCAUAUAUAUGUUAUUUUUGUGUGAUUUUCUUAUGUUUCUACAAGUAGCAUUUUUUUCUUAAUAUUUCUACUUAAUUAUCUAGUAUCAUGAAUUUCGAUAUAUCCAUUAAACAUGUAUCCAAAAUGAUAAAAAAAAAGUUGUUUUGGGGUUUUUUUUUUUGCGAGAUGUCCUACGGAAGAGUUACGUCACCAAGACUGGCUCCUCGUUCUUCUGUACCUGCAACAAACGGAAGCUCCGGUUGUUCGGAGUUUCGCCUCCGACGAUCAAGUUAGUACGUGUUUGGAGAGUAAAAUGCGAAAAACGAAGGCUGCUAGGUGAACGUUUCGGAGGUUACUUACCUUGAGAUUUACGCGCAAUUCAAGGUUGGUAAGAGGGUACUCGGUUACGUGUGAGGAGACGUUAGAAUAAUCAUGUAGCUAAGACAAUUUAGUUUAAUUCCGAACUUAUUUAUUUUCCUUUUUAAUUAGUGUUUUUUAAAAUGUUUUAUAGUUUGGAUGUAACGACUAUUUUAUUUUUUGCUGUCACUCGGAUCACUUAGUUUAUAAAAUGGUAUUUCGUUUUGCUUUGCAUUUGUUUUCUAUAGAAGAUAAGUGUAGCUGUAACACUCCCAAGGUUCGACGGUUGGUUUGAAAGGUAAAAAGGUUACUCUUAUCGUUUUACAAAGACUUGAAUUUUGGGGGUGUUACAGUGCCACCUCGGUUAUCUCCUUGGAGAACGCAGAGGGUUGUUCUCCAAGU
Chenopodium quinoa (quinoa) is the source of this 947-nucleotide long non-coding RNA. RefSeq lists it as uncharacterized. The record is from RefSeq and is a predicted model, not a curated record. The transcript is spliced from 3 exons. Lineage: Eukaryota; Viridiplantae; Streptophyta; Magnoliopsida; Caryophyllales; Amaranthaceae.